RNAcentral lists this small RNA (81 nucleotides) under Cebus imitator (Panamanian white-faced capuchin). RNAcentral's name for it is "Y RNA (ENSCCAG00000007907.1)". It matches the Rfam family "Y RNA", at positions 17 to 96 of the family's 96-position model. Rfam says of the family: Y RNAs are components of the Ro ribonucleoprotein particle (Ro RNP), in association with Ro60 and La proteins. The Y RNAs and Ro60 and La proteins are well conserved, but the function of the Ro RNP is not known. In humans the RNA component can be one of four small RNAs -- hY1, hY3, hY4 and hY5. The record is from RNAcentral. Lineage: Eukaryota; Metazoa; Chordata; Mammalia; Primates; Cebidae.
UGUUUGUUCAUAGUCAGUUAUAGAUCAAAUUCCUUGUUCAACUCUUUCCCCCUUCUCACUACUGUACUUGACUAGUCUUUA